This 718-nucleotide ribosomal RNA is filed under the name Cottus carolinae (banded sculpin). RNAcentral's name for it is "partial 12S ribosomal RNA". It matches the Rfam family "Bacterial small subunit ribosomal RNA", at positions 216 to 1345 of the family's 1533-position model. The record is from RNAcentral. Lineage: Eukaryota; Metazoa; Chordata; Actinopteri; Perciformes; Cottidae.
UGCCCUAACAGUUCCCCGCCCGGGAACAAGGAGCUGGUAUCAGGCACAACCCUACCGAGCCCACAACACCUUGCUUAGCCACGCCCUCAAGGGAACUCAGCAGUGAUAAACAUUAAGCCAUAAGUGAAAACUUGACUUAGUUAAAGCUAAGAGGGCCGGUAAAACUCGUGCCAGCCACCGCGGUUAUACGAGAGGCCCAAGUUGACAAACACCGGCGUAAAGCGUGGUUAAGUUAAAAAUCGUACUAAAGCCAAACAUCUUCAAGACUGUUAUACGUAACCGAAGGCAGGAAGUUCAACCACGAAAGUCGCUUUAUCUGAUCUGAAUCCACGAAAGCUAAGGAACAAACUGGGAUUAGAUACCCCACUAUGCCUAGCCCUAAACAUUGAUAGUACUAUACACCCACUAUCCGCCCGGGUACUACGAGCAAUAGCUUAAAACCCAAAGGACUUGGCGGUGCUUUAGAUCCACCUAGAGGAGCCUGUUCUAGAACCGAUAACCCCCGUUCAACCUCACCCUUCCUUGUUUUACCCGCCUAUAUACCGCCGUCGUCAGCUUACCCUAUGAGGGACUAAUAGUAAGCAAAACUGGUACAACCUAAAACGUCAGGUCGAGGUGUAGCGUAUGGAGGGGAAAGAAAUGGGCUACAUUCGCUACCACAGCGAACACGAAUGAUGCACUGAAACACACAUCUGAAGGAGGAUUUAGCAGUAAGCUG